CCUACGGGGUGCAGCAGUGGGGGAUAGUGCACAAUGGGGGAAACCCUGAUGCAGCGACGCCGCGUGGGCGAAGAAGUAUUUCGGGAUGUAAAGCACUAUCAGAAGGGAAGAAGAAAUGACGGUACCUGAGUAAGAAGCACCGGCUAAAUACGUGCCAGCAGCCGCGGUAAUACGUAGGGUGCAAGCGUAAGCCGGAUUGACUGGGGGUAAAGGGAGGUCAGGGGGCACGGCAAGCCUGAUGUGAAAGCCCGCGGCCCAACCGCGGGACUGCAUUGGGAACGAACGGGCUGGGGUGCCGGAGAGGUAGGCGGAAUUCCUAGUGUAGCGGUGAAAUGCGUAGAUAUUAGGAGGAACACUAGUGGCGAAGGCGGCCUACUGGACGGUGACUGACGCUGAGGCUCGAAAGCGUGGGGAGCAAACAGGAUUAGAUACCCGGGUAGUC
Molecule: ribosomal RNA, 442 nt
Filed under: uncultured bacterium
Lineage: Bacteria
Description: partial 16S ribosomal RNA
Rfam family: Bacterial small subunit ribosomal RNA
Source: RNAcentral